Molecule: ribosomal RNA, 484 nt
Filed under: uncultured bacterium
Lineage: Bacteria
Description: partial 16S ribosomal RNA
Rfam family: Bacterial small subunit ribosomal RNA
Source: RNAcentral
AUUGAACGCUGGCGGAAUGCUUUACACAUGCAAGUCGAACGGCAGCACGGGGGCAGCCCUGGUGGCGAGUGGCGAACGGGUGAGUAAUACAUCGGAACGUGCCCGGUCGUGGGGGAUAACGUAGCGAAAGUUACGCUAAUACCGCAUACGAUCUGAGGAUGAAAGCGGGGGACCUUCGGGCCUCGCGCGAUCGGAGCGGCCGAUGUCAGAUUAGGUAGUUGGUGGGGUAAAGGCCUACCAAGCCGACGAUCUGUAGCUGGUCUGAGAGGACGACCAGCCACACUGCGACUGAGACACGGCCCAGACUCCUACGGGAGGCAGCAGUGGGGAAUUUUGGACAAUGGGCGCAAGCCUGAUCCAGCCAUUCCGCGUGCAGGACGAAGGCCUUCGGGUUGUAAACUGCUUUUGUACGGAACGAAAAGGCUCUGGCUAAUACCUGGGGCUCAUGACGGUACCGUAAGAAUAAGCACCGGCUAACUACGUG